This 142-nucleotide ribosomal RNA is filed under the name uncultured bacterium. RNAcentral describes it as "partial 16S ribosomal RNA". It matches the Rfam family "Bacterial small subunit ribosomal RNA", at positions 355 to 509 of the family's 1533-position model. The record is from RNAcentral.
UGGGGAAUAUUGCACAAUGGGCGCAAGCCUGAUGCAGCGACGCCGCGUGAGGGAUGACGGCCUUCGGGUUGUAAACCUCUUUCACCAGGGACGAAGCGUGAGUGACGGUACCUGGAGAAGAAGCACCGGCCAACUACGUGCC